This 250-nucleotide ribosomal RNA is filed under the name uncultured Sunxiuqinia sp. RNAcentral's name for it is "partial 16S ribosomal RNA". It matches the Rfam family "Bacterial small subunit ribosomal RNA", at positions 524 to 773 of the family's 1533-position model. Lineage: Bacteria; Pseudomonadati; Bacteroidota; Bacteroidia; Marinilabiliales; Prolixibacteraceae. The record is from RNAcentral.
UACGGAGGAUGCAAGCGUUAUCCGGAUUCAUUGGGUUUAAAGGGUACGUAGGUGGCUGAUUAAGUCAGUGGUGAAAACCUGCCGCUUAACGGUAGGCGUGCCAUUGAUACUGAUUAGCUUGAGUACAGUUGAGGUAGGCGGAAUGUGUAGUGUAGCGGUGAAAUGCUUAGAUAUUACACAGAACUCCGAUUGCGAAGGCAGCUUACUAAACUGACACUGACACUGAGGUACGAAAGCGUGGGUAGCGAAC